UAAGGAAUAUUGGUCAAUGGACGCAAGUCUGAACCAGCCAUGCCGCGUGAAGGAUGAAGGUCCUCUGGAUUGUAAACUUCUUUUAUCUGGGACGAAAACGGGAUUUUUAUCUCAAUUGACGGUACCAGAGGAAUAAGCACCGGCUAACUCCGUGCCAGCAGCCGCGGUAAUACGGAGGGUGCGAGCGUUAAUCGGAAUUACUGGGCGCAAAGGGUGCGCAGGCGGUCUUGCAAGUCAGAUGUGAAAGCCCCGGGCUUAACCUGGGAAUUGCGUUUGAAACUACAAGACUAGAGUGCAGCAGAGGGGAGUGGAAUUCCAUGUGUAGCAGUGAAAUGCGUAGAGAUGUGGAAGAACACCGAUGGCGAAGGCAGCUCCCUGGGUUGACACUGACGCUCAUGCACGAAAGCGUGGGGAGCAAACA
RNAcentral lists this ribosomal RNA (421 nucleotides) under uncultured bacterium. RNAcentral's name for it is "bacterial SSU rRNA". It matches the Rfam family "Bacterial small subunit ribosomal RNA", at positions 355 to 774 of the family's 1533-position model. The record is from RNAcentral.